AGCGGGCUCCGGAGUUGGUCUGUGUACGGUGACGUCGUGAAGGAUGGAGUCAAGGGCCGUGUCUUGGUGCUGAGCAGUUGGAAUUCAGGGGUUCCCAAAAAAAGAGGAAGAGAGGGCCUCCCCCCGCAGCCCAUUCCCAGAUCGAGAAAACGGGGGGCCCGAAGAGCGAGGGGAGAUGGGUCAUAGGCUUGGUUCUCCAUCCUCAUUUAGUUUGGUGUCAAUAGAUCUGCAGAUGAGAUGACGGAGGCCCAGUGAAGUGAAGUCGUCUUGGAGAAGAUGUGCCUUCAGUAAGGCUGUGAAGGUGGGCAGACGUUACAGAGGUAUGAUUUGUUUAAUGGGAGAGGUCGUCUCCUCCUCCAGUUGGGGGUCUCGACGCGGGAGAUUAAUAGGGUGUCUCCUGCGGCCACAGCCUGGGGCAAAAGUCACCUUUUAUUUUUGGUUUUUCGGGUGUUCUGUCAUGAAUUCAGAUGAAAGGGGUUCCAGGCCAGAGAGAUUGACUUCCUAUUUUACAGAUGAGGUAACUGAGGGACAGAGAAGU
Ornithorhynchus anatinus (platypus) is the source of this 538-nucleotide long non-coding RNA. RefSeq lists it as uncharacterized. NCBI's taxonomy places the organism in Eukaryota, Metazoa, Chordata, Mammalia, Monotremata, Ornithorhynchidae. The record is from RefSeq and is a predicted model, not a curated record. The transcript has 3 exons.